UACGUAGGGUGCAAGCGUUUGUCCGGAAUUAUUGGGCGUAAAGAGCUCGUAGGCGGUUUGUCGCGUCUGCUGUGAAAACCUGGGGCUCAACUGUGGGCUUGCAUUCGAUACGGGCAGGCUAGAGUUCGGUAGGGGAGACUGGAAUUCCUGGUGUAGCGGUGAAAUGCGCAGAUAUCAGGAGGAACACCGGUGGCGAAGGCGGGUCUCUGGGCCGAUACUGACGCUGAGGAGCGAAAGCGUGGGGAGCGAACAGG
RNAcentral lists this ribosomal RNA (254 nucleotides) under uncultured bacterium. RNAcentral's name for it is "partial 16S ribosomal RNA". It matches the Rfam family "Bacterial small subunit ribosomal RNA", at positions 524 to 776 of the family's 1533-position model. The record is from RNAcentral.